GGGGGGGUUGCGCCACUUGGAGGCUUAAUAAACAGCCACAACAACACAAAUUUAAAAGCAUUUCUUCAAUUUGCAAGGAAACCUAUUAACUAACAUACUCUAGAUUCACAUAAUCCAAGAUUAUUGAUUUGCAUUAAAAUUUACUUCAUACUUUCCUGGAUGACACACAAAAAAAAUGCUGCAAGCUUGAUUCUCAUCCAUGAUAGGUAUAUAAACAAUCAACCAAAAAAGGCAUGAAAAACUGUGUAAAAAUUGGGAUAGCAAGUGAGAGAAAUAAGGACCUAAAAUCAUAGCUAAAGCAGUAGCAUUAAAUUGAAGCUCACAAACAAAAACACAAAAGUGCUAAUUUACAAAAAUAGAAUGAAGUACUAACC
RNAcentral lists this unclassified non-coding RNA (374 nucleotides) under Hevea brasiliensis (rubber tree). Lineage: Eukaryota; Viridiplantae; Streptophyta; Magnoliopsida; Malpighiales; Euphorbiaceae. The record is from RNAcentral.